AGUGAACGCUGGCGGUAGGCCUAACACAUGCAAGUCGAACGGCAGCACAGUAAGAGCUUGCUCUUACGGGUGGCGAGUGGCGGACGGGUGAGGAAUACAUCGGAAUCUACUUUUUCGUGGGGGAUAACGUAGGGAAACUUACGCUAAUACCGCAUACGACCUACGGGUGAAAGCAGUGGAUCUUCGGACCUUGCGCGAUUGAAUGAGCCGAUGUCGGAUUAGCUAGUUGGCGGGGUAAAGGCCCACCAAGGCGACGAUCCGUAGCUGGUCUGAGAGGAUGAUCAGCCACACUGGAACUGAGACACGGCCCAGACUCCUACGGGAGGCAGCAGUGGGGAAUAUUGGACACUGGGCGCAAGCCUGAUCCAGCCAUACCGCGUGGGUGAAGAAGGCCUUCGGGUUGUAAAGCCCUUUUGUUGGGAAAGAAAAGCAGCAGGUUAAUACCCCGCUGUUCUGACGGUACCCAAAGAAUAAGCACCGGCUAACUUCGUG
This 492-nucleotide ribosomal RNA is filed under the name uncultured bacterium. Its description in RNAcentral is "partial 16S ribosomal RNA". It matches the Rfam family "Bacterial small subunit ribosomal RNA", at positions 29 to 507 of the family's 1533-position model. The record is from RNAcentral.